RNAcentral lists this ribosomal RNA (311 nucleotides) under Enterobacter sp. E(2010). Its description in RNAcentral is "bacterial SSU rRNA". It matches the Rfam family "Bacterial small subunit ribosomal RNA", at positions 199 to 505 of the family's 1533-position model. Lineage: Bacteria; Pseudomonadati; Pseudomonadota; Gammaproteobacteria; Enterobacterales; Enterobacteriaceae. The record is from RNAcentral.
ACCUUCGGGCCUCAUGCCAUCAGAUGUGCCCAGAUGGGAUUAGCUAGUAGGUGGGGUAAUGGCUCACCUAGGCGACGAUCCCUAGCUGGUCUGAAAGGAUGACCAGCUCACACUGGAACUGAGACACGGUCCAGACUCCUACGGGAGGCAGCAGUGGGGAAUAUUGCACAAUGGGCGCAAGCCUGAUGCAGCCAUGCCGCGUGUAUGAAGAAGGCCUUCCGGUUGUAAAGUACUUUCAGCGAGGAGGAAGGCUUAAGGUUAAUAACCUUAGUGAUUGACGUUACUCGCACAAGAAACACCGGCUAACUCCG